Molecule: ribosomal RNA, 466 nt
Filed under: uncultured bacterium
Lineage: Bacteria
Description: bacterial SSU rRNA
Rfam family: Bacterial small subunit ribosomal RNA
Source: RNAcentral
UAGGGAAUAUUGGGCAAUGGAGGGAACUCUGACCCAGCCAUGCCGCGUGCAGGAUGAAGGCGUUAUGCGUUGUAAACUGCUUUUAUAUAGGAAGAAAUAGUCCUUGCGAGGAAAGUUGACGGUACUAUAUGAAUAAGCACCGGCUAACUCCGUGCCAGCAGCCGCGGUAAUACGGAGGGUGCAAGCGUUGUCCGGAUUUAUUGGGUUUAAAGGGUGCGUAGGCGGUUUAUUAAGUCAGUGGUGAAAGACGGUCGCUCAACGAUUGCAGUGCCAUUGAUACCGGUAGACUUGAGUAUGAUUGAGGUAGCUGGAAUGGAUAGUGUAGCGGUGAAAUGCAUAGAUAUUAUCCAGAACACCAAUUGCGUAGGCAAGUUACUAAGUCAUAACUGACGCUGAGGCACGAAAGUGUGGGUAUCAAACAGGAUUAGAUACCCCCGUAGUCCCUGAGCGGGCUGGCAAGGCGCAU